This 89-nucleotide transfer RNA is filed under the name Deltaproteobacteria bacterium. RNAcentral describes it as "tRNA-Leu". It matches the Rfam family "tRNA". From Rfam's summary of the family: Transfer RNA (tRNA) molecules are approximately 80 nucleotides in length. Their secondary structure includes four short double-helical elements and three loops (D, anti-codon, and T loops). Further hydrogen bonds mediate the characteristic L-shaped molecular structure. tRNAs have two regions of fundamental functional importance: the anti-codon, which is responsible for specific mRNA codon recognition, and the 3' end, to which the tRNAs corresponding amino acid is attached (by aminoacyl-tRNA synthetases). tRNAs cope with the degeneracy of the genetic code in two manners: having more than one tRNA (with a specific anti-codon) for a particular amino acid; and 'wobble' base-pairing, i.e. permitting non-standard base-pairing at the 3rd anti-codon position. Lineage: Bacteria; Pseudomonadati; Myxococcota; Myxococcia. The record is from RNAcentral.
GCCCGGGUGGCGGAACCGGCAGACGCCGGGGGCUUAAAACCCCCUGACCCGACCGGGUCGUGCGGGUUCGACUCCCGCCCCGGGCACCC